This is a long non-coding RNA of Penaeus indicus, 1010 nucleotides long. RefSeq lists it as uncharacterized. The record is from RefSeq and is a predicted model, not a curated record. The transcript is spliced from 3 exons. Lineage: Eukaryota; Metazoa; Arthropoda; Malacostraca; Decapoda; Penaeidae.
GGUCGGGAGGAAAGUACAUCCGUGUUGGCGGCUGUGUGUCGACCGCAUGUCCACGUGCGCUCACGUCGUGCUGAACUCUUUAAAGUUCUGAGCUGGCUCUGGAAUCGACUAGUGUUUUGUAGUUAUUGUCGUGCCAUAUAGUGACUUGAAUUACGUGAUACACAUGAAAUUAAUGGGAAAUUGAUCGGUUUUUCCAUUUGAAAGCUUUACUUGAAUUGAUUUUUAGUACUAGUGUGUUGCAGGUGAAUAUCGAUCUUUCACGGUUUUCCCGAAUUUGCAACAGCGUGUCAUUUUGAACUGCAAAUAAAUACACUUCACCUAUUGGAUGCCUCGUUCCCCUGAAACUUUGAAAAAAAAUAUAUUACUGAAACAGCACUUUCCUCAGUGUGAACGUUAAUUGAAUUGGCUUAUACACACAGCAGACGUGAUUUUGACUACCUGUAGAAAAAAUGUUGCGACAGACAGCUCAAGUUAAAUAAUAACAACUGAAAGUAGGCCUAUACAUUCUAUUCCACCCGAGGUUUGAAAAGAAAGAGAAAGAAAGAAAGAAAGAAAAAAGCGUAGACAAAAGCUGCAGGUAAGGCAGGAUCCUUGUGGUCAGGACGAGGUUAGAAGAGACACCGUCCUUCAAGUGAGCGGCGUCCUGCAGCGGCGGCCGUCAGGAUAUCAGGACACCGGCUGCACCGCCUCCAGAUUCGGCACCGAGACGUGACGCCGCAUCGCUUGGAAUACAUUCCCACGGAGAUUUCAACUGUCGAAGAAGUAGUGAUCCACAAGGCCACUCCAGUCUACACAUAUCAGGUAAAUACUGAUUCUUAAAAAUAUCACAGUGAAUGUUGUCUUCUGAGCUAAUGCAAAGGAAGAGGGUGAGUGAGAAGGAGAAGGGGAAGGAGAAGGAGAAGGAGAAAGGGAAGGAGAGGGAGAAAGAGAUGGAAAAGGAAAGAAAGGGGGAGAAGAAGGAAAAGGAGAGGUAGAGAAAGAAGAAGAGGGAAAAGGAAAAAGAAAAAGAA